This 486-nucleotide ribosomal RNA is filed under the name uncultured Microbacterium sp. RNAcentral describes it as "bacterial SSU rRNA". It matches the Rfam family "Bacterial small subunit ribosomal RNA", at positions 8 to 507 of the family's 1533-position model. The record is from RNAcentral. Lineage: Bacteria; Bacillati; Actinomycetota; Actinomycetes; Micrococcales; Microbacteriaceae.
AGAGUUUGAUCCUGGCUCAGGAUGAACGCUGGCGGCGUGCUUAACACAUGCAAGUCGAACGGUGAAGCCAAGCUUGCUUGGUGGAUCAGUGGCGAACGGGUGAGUAACACGUGAGCAACCUGCCCUGGACUCUGGGAUAAGCGCUGGAAACGGUGUCUAAUACUGGAUAUGAGCCUCUAUCGCAUGGUGGGGGUUGGAAAGAUUUUUCGGUCUGGGAUGGGCUCGCGGCCUAUCAGCUUGUUGGUGAGGUAAUGGCUCACCAAGGCGUCGACGGGUAGCCGGCCUGAGAGGGUGACCGGCCACACUGGGACUGAGACACGGCCCAGACUCCUACGGGAGGCAGCAGUGGGGAAUAUUGCACAAUGGGCGGAAGCCUGAUGCAGCAACGCCGCGUGAGGAAUGACGGCCUUCGGGUUGUAAACCUCUUUUAGCAGGGAAGAAGCGAAAGUGACGGUACCUGCAGAAAAAGCGCCGGCUAACUACGUG